Molecule: ribosomal RNA, 482 nt
Filed under: uncultured bacterium
Lineage: Bacteria
Description: partial 16S ribosomal RNA
Rfam family: Bacterial small subunit ribosomal RNA
Source: RNAcentral
AUUGAACGCUGGCGGCAGGCCUAACACAUGCAAGUCGAGCGGAUGAAGGGGGCUUGCUCCUGGAUUCAGCGGCGGACGGGUGAGUAAUGCCUAGGAAUCUGCCUGGUAGUGGGGGAUAACGUCCGGAAACGGGCGCUAAUACCGCAUACGUCCUGAGGGAGAAAGUGGGGGAUCUUCGGACCUCACGCUAUCAGAUGAGCCUAGGUCGGAUUAGCUAGUUGGUGGGGUAAAGGCCUACCAAGGCGACGAUCCGUAACUGGUCUGAGAGGAUGAUCAGUCACACUGGAACUGAGACACGGUCCAGACUCCUACGGGAGGCAGCAGUGGGGAAUAUUGGACAAUGGGCGAAAGCCUGAUCCAGCCAUGCCGCGUGUGAAGAAGGUCUUCGGAUUGUAAAGCACUUUAAGUUGGGAGGAAGGGCAGUAAGUUAAUACCUUGCUGUUUUGACGUUACCAACAGAAUAAGCACCGGCUAACUUCGUG